This 297-nucleotide ribosomal RNA is filed under the name uncultured bacterium. RNAcentral describes it as "partial 16S ribosomal RNA". It matches the Rfam family "Bacterial small subunit ribosomal RNA", at positions 475 to 776 of the family's 1533-position model. The record is from RNAcentral.
CUAUGCGCCUUGCCAGCCCGCUCAGGUGUGCCAGCCGCCGCGGUAAUACGGAGGAUGCGAGCGUUAUCCGGAUUAUUGGGUUUAAAGGGUGCGUAGGCGGGCAUUUAAGCCGGCGGUCAAAUGUCGGGGCUCAACCCCGGCCUGCCGUCGGAACUGGGUGCCUUGAGUGGGCGAGAAGUAUGCGGAAUGCGUGGUGUAGCGGUGAAAUGCAUAGAUAUCACGCAGAACCCCGAUUGCGAAGGCAGCAUACCGGCGCCCGACUGACGCUGAGGCACGAAAGUGCGGGUAUCGAACAGG